Molecule: long non-coding RNA, 939 nt
Organism: Strigops habroptila (Kakapo)
Lineage: Eukaryota; Metazoa; Chordata; Aves; Psittaciformes; Psittacidae
Exons: 2
Source: RefSeq, a predicted model, not a curated record
GCUGCGGGCCGGGGCCUGCGGUGGGGACGGGCCCGGGGCCGGCGUCGGGCGGGGGAGCCGCGCUGCCCUCGGGGCGCCGCGCCCGGCUCCCACCUUAUCCCCAGCGCGGCCGCCGGGGCCGCAACUUUCCCGGGGCGGCGGCGGUGUGCGGGAGUUCGGCGGGGCGCAGGGUGGGCGCAACCCCGGCAGGCAGAGCCCCCCGGCUCCGCGGAUGCAGCCCCGGCUGUGUUGGGACUCCGCGGCGCGGCCCCGGCGCGGCCCGGGGGCAGGCGGCUGAUGAAAUGGACAGGCUGGGGAAAGGGCCUGCCUCGGGCUGCCAAACUUUGUUGUCCUUGGGCUCGGCUCCUUGCGGUGUGCGGAAAAUAAUUCUUCAGAUAACUCAGAUCCUGGCACUGCUGCGGCGUUGGGGUUUAUUUCUCUUAUUCUCUCUAAGAAAGAUGGAUCCUUUCUGCCAGCCUAAAUCGCCCAUGCUAAGUAAUCAAUUUGCAGCGACUUCAGAUGCUGGAGCAGCAUGUUCUCACUUGUGUCGUUCUUGGGUUUGUGGACCCCUGAUGUUCUCCAGCUGAGCUGCGUAUGCAUUAUUGUCAUUUAAAGUCAGCCUACCAACAGGACAUCUGACUUAUAAGUAGUUCUCACACAUGCAGCGGCCCCAGAUUUCAGGUUGAGAAUUGCUGAUCUAGGACUACGUUUUCCCCUGUGCCUUAUGGAAUAUUGUGAGUCUGGCUUUAUUGCGGAUGCUCCAGCUGAUGGGUAUUCUGUUAUACCAGUGACUUUGCUGUCGUUCCAUAAGGUAAAAAAAAAUUCAGUGCUUACAAUUAUAUCUGAAGCGGCCACCUGCUGAUUAGUGCUGGAUACAUAGUUCAUAGAAACACCAGCGUCCAGCUGCUAAGAACUGUGUAGAAUUUAAUCACAUCAUUGUCAUUAAAAAGAAUUCUAUAA